CCUACGGGAGGCAGCAGUGAGGAAUAUUGGUCAAUGGACGAGAGUCUGAACCAGCCAAGUAGCGUGAAGGAUGACUGCCCUAUGGGUUGUAAACUUCUUUUAUAUGGGAAUAAAACGUUCCACGUGUGGGAUUUUGUAUGUACCAUAUGAAUAAGGAUCGGCUAACUCCGUGCCAGCAGCCGCGGUAAUACGGAGGCUCCGAGCGUUAUCCGGAUUUAUUGGGUUUAAAGGGAGCGUAGGUGGAUUGUUAAGUCAGUUGUGAAAGUUUGCGGCUCAACCGUAAAAUUGCAGUUGAAACUGGCAGUCUUGAGUACAGUAGAGGUGGGCGGAAUUCGUGGUGUAGCGGUGAAAUGCUUAGAUAUCACGAAGAACUCCGAUUGCGAAGGCAGUUCACUGGACUGCAACUGACACUGAGGCUCGAAAGUGUGGGUAUCAAACAGGAUUAGAUACCCCUGUAGUC
This 460-nucleotide ribosomal RNA is filed under the name uncultured bacterium. Its description in RNAcentral is "partial 16S ribosomal RNA". It matches the Rfam family "Bacterial small subunit ribosomal RNA", at positions 338 to 795 of the family's 1533-position model. The record is from RNAcentral.